UAGUAAUGGCAGGUCAGCAUACUGCCGUGAAUACGUUCCCGGGCCUUGUACACACCGCCCGUCACACCAUGAGAGUUGGGGAUACCCGAAGCCUGUGAGCCAACAAUAUGUUGAGGCAGCAGUCGAAGGUAGAAUCAAUGAUUGGGGUGAAGUCGUAACAAGGUACC
Molecule: ribosomal RNA, 167 nt
Filed under: uncultured bacterium
Lineage: Bacteria
Description: partial 16S ribosomal RNA
Rfam family: Bacterial small subunit ribosomal RNA
Source: RNAcentral